ACAGGUAAAAAAUAAAUAAACUAACACAAAUUAGUUGCAUGAAUGUACUAAAAGUAAACAGAGACAUAGUAGAAUCGAACAGGUUAUUUCAUCAGAUUUGAUUCCAGUAAAGCAAAGAGAUGUCUGAAGUGACCAAGUAAAGGAUCCAAAUCCUACAUCCAUGACCUUUUGGGAAGAAAAAGAAUAACGAGAGGGCAUAAAAUAGGAAAAGGAGAAGGCAAAUUUUAUCAUCCACCUUUCCCAGUGUCCAUUAAAUCAUCCAAAAGGGAAAAAUGAUAUCCAUCUUUGCUUAUUUUUUUCUCUCCCAACAUUUCCAGAGAAUGAAAUCAAAAUAUAUUAAAGAGUAGCUUAUAUAUUUGUUACUUUUUCUUUUUUUGGAGAAAAUAUAUAUAUAUUUGUUACUUAUUAGUAAGUCAAUGUCAAACAUGAGACACCCCUCGGUUGUAUGAAAUGAAGGAGAUGUUACAAGACCCAAAAGGUUGAUUCAAUAGCUCAUUACUGGAAAUAAUCAUAUGGUAAAUAAUAUAUUUUUGUUCUACUGACUCCCUAAAAAAUUUUAUAUCAGUUAACCAGGUGAUUUCAUUUCUGACUGCCAAAAAAAGUUAGCCACGUGAUGCCACCUGAAAACAUUACUGAUAGUUCUAGGAAGUUGUAAAUUUACAGCUUAGCUUCUUAAACAAAAAUAUAGAAAUGCUAAAAAA
This is a long non-coding RNA of Glycine soja, 701 nucleotides long. RefSeq lists it as uncharacterized. The transcript has 2 exons. The record is from RefSeq and is a predicted model, not a curated record. NCBI's taxonomy places the organism in Eukaryota, Viridiplantae, Streptophyta, Magnoliopsida, Fabales, Fabaceae.